This 259-nucleotide ribosomal RNA is filed under the name uncultured Actinocatenispora sp. Its description in RNAcentral is "partial 16S ribosomal RNA". It matches the Rfam family "Bacterial small subunit ribosomal RNA", at positions 254 to 524 of the family's 1533-position model. The record is from RNAcentral. Lineage: Bacteria; Bacillati; Actinomycetota; Actinomycetes; Micromonosporales; Micromonosporaceae.
AGUGCGCUCGGCCACCAUGCGACGACGGGUAGCUGGCGUGAGAGCGUGGCCAGCCACACUGGGACUGAGACACGGCCCAGACUCCUACGGGAGGCAGCAGUGGGGAAUCUUGCGCAAUGGGCGAAAGCCUGACGCAGCGACGCCGCGUGGGGGAUGAAGGCCCUCGGGUUGUAAACCCCUUUCGGCAGGGAAGAAGCCGCAAGGUGACGGUACCUGCAGAAGAAGCCCCGGCUAACUACGUGCCAGCAGCCGCGGCCGA